ACGGAAGGCAGCAGUGGGGAAUAUUGCACAAUGGGGGAAACCCUGAUGCAGCGACGCCGCGUGAGUGAAGAAGUAUUUCGGUAUGUAAAGCUCUAUCAGCAGGAAAGAAAAUGACGGUACCUGACUAAGAAGCCCCGGCUAACUACGUGCCAGCAGCCGCGGUAAUACGUAGGGGGCAAGCGUUAUCCGGAUUUACUGGGUGUAAAGGGAGCGUAGACGGCUUUGCAAGUCUGAAGUGAAAGCCCGGGGCUCAACCCCGGAACUGCUUUGGAAACUGUAGAGCUAGAGUGCAGGAGAGGUAAGUGGAAUUCCUAGUGUAGCGGUGAAAUGCGUAGAUAUUAGGAGGAACACCAGUGGCGAAGGCGGCCUACUGGACUGUAACUGACGUUGAGGCUCGAAGGCGUGGGGAGCAAACAGGAUUAGAUACCCUGGUA
Molecule: ribosomal RNA, 434 nt
Filed under: uncultured Lachnospiraceae bacterium
Lineage: Bacteria; Bacillati; Bacillota; Clostridia; Lachnospirales; Lachnospiraceae
Description: partial 16S ribosomal RNA
Rfam family: Bacterial small subunit ribosomal RNA
Source: RNAcentral